CUGCAAGGAGGAAGUCAUGAAGAUAUCUGCAUCAGUGACUAAAGUCCAGGCUAUUUUGUCUCUUGAACCUACAACCAGAGAGGAUUUCCUACAAUACUCCUGUCACUUCACACUG
Molecule: long non-coding RNA, 115 nt
Organism: Clupea harengus (Atlantic herring)
Lineage: Eukaryota; Metazoa; Chordata; Actinopteri; Clupeiformes; Clupeidae
Exons: 3
Source: RefSeq, a predicted model, not a curated record